CCGAUCGCUGGCAUUCGGUAUUCCACAAUCCACAAGCGCGGAGCAAUGCAAGCGUCAUCUAUGGUGGUUUUGUCUAUCUCUAUCCUGUUUUUCUGUGUAUUGUAUUGGAGCAUGUAUACCAUUGAGCACGAGUGUCACUAGCAAUUGUUCUCCAACUUCAACGCACUUAACAGACCCGAAACAUGUUUUCAUGUACAAGCCAUCUCCAUCUCCACCACCUCAUACACUUUCCCGAUUACCAUUAAAAUUAAUAAAUUCCACCAUAGACUCAGGCAAUCGCUGGCUGCUUCCUCUUCUUCUAUUCACUACGACAGUCUCCGAGUGCUGGAAUGGGAUAAGCUGUGCGAUUUGGUCGCUUCCUUCGCUACCACCUCUCUGGGCUGCAAAGCCGUCAAAGCCCAGCUAUGGUCUCUGAAUCAGACUUACGACGAGAGCCUGAGACUUCUGAACGAAACAAAUGCGGCCGUCGAAAUGCACAAGCAUGGAGGUUGCCGACUGGACUUCGGCCACAUUGAUGCUGCCCUGGUGGAGUCUGCAAUUCAGCAUGCC
Molecule: long non-coding RNA, 549 nt
Organism: Prosopis cineraria
Lineage: Eukaryota; Viridiplantae; Streptophyta; Magnoliopsida; Fabales; Fabaceae
Exons: 3
Source: RefSeq, a predicted model, not a curated record